Molecule: long non-coding RNA, 718 nt
Organism: Glycine soja
Lineage: Eukaryota; Viridiplantae; Streptophyta; Magnoliopsida; Fabales; Fabaceae
Exons: 2
Source: RefSeq, a predicted model, not a curated record
CAGUUUAAACUGGCAUUAUCUUGUGCUAGAUAAAUAAUAGGGUUAAUUAUGUUUUUAGUCCCUGAACUUUUUCAGGUUUUUACUUUUAGUCCCUGAACAAAAUUUUGACCGGUCUUAGUUCCUAAACUUGUAUUUCGUUAAUGUUUUUAGUCCUUGCCGUCAAAUAGCAUCAUUAAAUGAUGAGAUGGCGUUAAUGUUAUUGUUAUUUUAUUACAUUUAGUGGCCGUUAAAAAUCCAGAAAUUGCCUUGCUAAGAUGUAGUAAACAAUUUUUGGCGGCUGAAAACCGCCAGAAAUUGCUUUUGCCUUUUUUGAUUGGCCCCUUUCCUCCAUCCAUCAAUGCAAGUUCAAAUCAAUACAACACUCAGAUCCAAAAUCAAAAUCAAAAUAAGUAGAGGCACAAACACAAACCCAGCAAAAUAAAAAAGUUUUUUUAAAAAAUAGAUCAGAAACCCACAACAACCCAAACCCAUAAUCAGUUCUGCUUCCACUUGUUGCUUGAAACACACAACCACCCCAACCCUAAAUCCAAACUGAAAACCUGGAGGCAGCGGUGUGUGCCUUUCUUUUUGGUGACCCUGUGCUAUGCUACUCACUUCAUUUUGGUGACCCUCCGAGAUUGGUUCGUUAAGGCGGGGUUGGGGCUUGGUCUAUUGGGUGUGUCGCCAGUUUGUGUACAUUGUGAGAGUGAGACGUGUAGGCACACCUACGAAAACCCAA